Molecule: long non-coding RNA, 1632 nt
Organism: Prunus persica (peach)
Lineage: Eukaryota; Viridiplantae; Streptophyta; Magnoliopsida; Rosales; Rosaceae
Exons: 6
Source: RefSeq, a predicted model, not a curated record
UGGGUUUUUUUGGUUUUAAUUUUUUUAACAAAUAGUGUAGCCGCGCGGUUGAAACUUCACCCAAAUGCAGCAGAUGCUUCAGAUUUUAUUUCUUCUUCAUAGAUAGAGCAGCACAAGAUGCUUCGGGAUGGAAUACUGUGGUGCUUGGGCGGAGGUGCUCUUUUCCUUCUUGGCUGUCACAUUGACAGGCAUGUUGAUCGUCUCCUUUGAAAAGAUUCUAGCUUCUUCUUUCAAAAGAUUCUAGCUUUAUGUUUAACAGAGCUCACGAACAAAUAAUGAAGCACGUAAACUUGAAUCGGUCCGUCGGAUUAGGGAGUUGAAGGAUUUUGUCGGGUUGCUGAGAUACGAAUGCCGAGUUGUUGUUGCCGUUAGAGGCAGGGUGUGCUCAGCAACUCCCAUUAACUGUGAAAUGAGUGGUUUACAAGGUAUAAUUGUGGAGCAGAGGGCAGAGCAGUAUUUCCUGGAACGCAUCAAGAACAUGGAUAAGGACGAGGAUAAGGACAGGGAUGAUAUAUGGAUGAAGACUCAUAAACUCUUGCAUUCUACCACACAAGAAGUCCCAAUUUACUCUCUCUCUCUCUCUCUCUCUCUCUCUCUCUCUCUCUCUCAACCAUGGUGUGUUCAUUUUUGCGUCGGAUUGAGGAAAUUUUAUAUUUGGUUCACUUCAGGAUGAUGGGACUUUUCGUGUGAACGUGGUGGGAGCUCGAAGUGCCAGCGGGUUUUACUGCCCAGCUGAAAAUGCAGUAUUUAAAGGGUCAAAGAAAAGCUGGCCUGGAAUUGAGACAGUGGCUGAUCUCGAAAACCUUCCUUCCAUAACAAAAGGGUAGAAAGACCGCAAGGUCCUUGGAGUCCAACGAAUUGAGCUUGUACUUCCAGUUGGUACUUCUUUGAGUGUUGUUGGUGAUCCUUGGAUGAACUUAGUAUGAAACCAUAAACUGCUUUACUAGGCUGUCAAAGAUGGCAAUGGUACCAUUUCGAUUUGGGCAGCAUAUGGAGGACCAUUUUAUGUCUCUCCCCAUACCGUUGAUCAGCUCACUGGAGACAGGAGGAUGUGGGCAAGAUUAGUUGUAUGAAUCCCUGAAUGCAUACAAACAUGUGGUAGCGUGUGUGUAUGUUUGCGACAUUUGUUCGUUUGCUGCUGCUUGUGUCAUGUGCAUCUCUUCCUCCAUGUGUGCUUUCUCUAAACUCCAAACUAAUGUAGAUGUCUUUCAUUGCUAGCUUCUGCUACGUUGCAGCUUUCGGUUUGACUGUGUAUGGUGCUGUCCAGAUUGCUAAGCAUUCUAUAUGAUUCAUCAUGGAAACAAAGCCCCGUUGAGAGAAAUUGCAGAGAAUGUCGAUGAUUGGAUCAUAGUUUUGAGAAUUUGAAGGCCUUUAAUUGUUCUUUUUUGUACUCUCAAUCUGACUCUGUUAUGUGGUGCAACUGUGCCAAUGGCCCUCAACUUUUUGCUUAUGAAUGUAAAUUUGCAACUUCUAAAACUUUUUAGUGUAACGGCACCAUUCUUUUUGAGGUUGAAAGUGGUCUGAGUAAAUUUUGUGUCCUCUCACGUUUAUCUCUCAUGUGCUGGUCACGUGAUCAGUUAUUGUAAGAGGAACGUUGUAUACACAUUUGUAUGUAGAAUUUUUUUCUAUUCA